AUCACAAAAUCCUCUACAACUUCACCUUUCCACUCUCACAUUCAUAUGAUCCACCAUUCUCGAUUUCUCUCCCACACCAUAACCUCCAUUUUCACCUUUCUUUCUGAAUUCAUGAUUUAUUAUUCAGAACACAGAAAAAAAGAUUAUUAUUCAACACAGAAAAAAUUCGCAGGAUUCAUUCACCAGAAAAAUCACAGGAAACUGACCGGAAUUCAUUACUUUGAUAUCUCUCUGAAAAUCACCUUCAAUCUUCAUCCUCAACCUCCAACGAAUCUUCUCUACAAUCUCUCUUUAACUCUCUCUGAGUUUAUCUGCACUUGA
Molecule: non-coding RNA, 321 nt
Organism: Vicia faba (fava bean)
Lineage: Eukaryota; Viridiplantae; Streptophyta; Magnoliopsida; Fabales; Fabaceae
Source: the annotation of a GenBank genome assembly